This 497-nucleotide ribosomal RNA is filed under the name uncultured bacterium. RNAcentral describes it as "partial 16S ribosomal RNA". It matches the Rfam family "Bacterial small subunit ribosomal RNA", at positions 28 to 507 of the family's 1533-position model. The record is from RNAcentral.
GAUGAACGCUGGCGGCGUGCCUAAUACAUGCAAGUCGAGCGAACAGAUAAGGAGCUUGCUCCUUUGACGUUAGCGGCGGACGGGUGAGUAACACGUGGGUAACCUACCUAUAAGACUGGAAUAACUCCGGGAAACCGGGGCUAAUGCCGGAUAACAUUUAGAACCGCAUGGUUCUAAAGUGAAAGAUGGUUUUGCUAUCACUUAUAGAUGGACCCGCGCCGUAUUAGCUAGUUGGUAAGGUAACGGCUUACCAAGGCAACGAUACGUAGCCGACCUGAGAGGGUGAUCGGCCACACUGGAACUGAGACACGGUCCAGGCUCCUACGGAAGGCAGCAGUAGGGAAUCUUCCGCAAUGGGCGAAAGCCUGACGGAGCAACGCCGCGUGAGUGAUGAAGGUCUUCGGAUCGUAAAACUCUGUUAUUAGGGAAGAACAAAUGUGUAAGUAACUGUGCACGUCUUGACGGUACCUAAUCAGAAAGCCACGGCUAACUACGUG